This 571-nucleotide ribosomal RNA is filed under the name uncultured Stemonitidae. RNAcentral describes it as "bacterial SSU rRNA". It matches the Rfam family "Eukaryotic small subunit ribosomal RNA", at positions 27 to 555 of the family's 1831-position model. The record is from RNAcentral. Lineage: Eukaryota; Evosea; Eumycetozoa; Stemonitida.
UAUGCUUUUCCUAAAGAUUAAGCCAUGCAUGUCUUAGACUAGGAGGAUACUAUUCUCUCUCUGAAUCUGCGAACGGCUCCGCAAACCAGUUGUAAACCAUAGCAAGGUCGACCUGGUGAGGCCCCUCGGGGCGUUAACCAGAAUACAAGGAUAACCCUGGUAAUUCUGAGGCUAAUACAUGCUAAAGCGACGCUGUCCUCGGUCUUUGUGCUUGGGGCAGGAACGUGUGAAAACAUACUGGGAUUCCUAUCGUGAAGAACGCACGUUCAGACCACCCCAGCAAUGAUGCGCCUUCGGGGCGUAUCUGGUGGCACUUGCAACGGGCUUCUGACCUAUCAACUCAAUAGCAGCGUAAGGGACAUGCUAUGGUAACAACGGGUACAGAGGAUUAGGGUUCGAUCCUGGAGAGUGGGCCUGAGAGAUUGCUCAUACUUCUAAGGAAGGCAGCAGGCGCGCAACGUUCCCCUUGGGCAUUGCUCGAGGGCGUUAUGGGAAAUAUGAAUGGCUGCCUACAAGGUGGCCAAUUCAAAUGGGUCUGUUGUAAAUAGGCUCUCGAGUAACAAUUAGAGGA